This 253-nucleotide ribosomal RNA is filed under the name uncultured bacterium. Its description in RNAcentral is "partial 16S ribosomal RNA". It matches the Rfam family "Bacterial small subunit ribosomal RNA", at positions 524 to 776 of the family's 1533-position model. The record is from RNAcentral.
GACGGAGGGUGCAAGCGUUGUUCGGAAUUACUGGGCGUAAAGGGCGCGUAGGCGGUCCGCUAAGUUCGGCGUGAAAUCCCCUGGCUCAACUGGGGAACUGCGCUGGAUACUGGUGGACUAGAGUACCGGAGAGGAGAGUGGAAUUCCUGGUGUAGCGGUGAAAUGCGUAGAUAUCAGGAGGAACACCGGUGGCGAAGGCGGCUCUCUGGACGGAUACUGACGCUGAGGCGCGAAAGCGUGGGGAUCAAACAGG